AAUAGAUACCCGGGUAGUCCACGCCGUAAACGAUGAGUGCUAAGUGUUAGAGGGUUUCCGCCCUUUAGUGCUGCAGCUAACGCAUUAAGCACUCCGCCUGGGGAGUACGGUCGCAAGACUGGAACUCAAAGGAAUUGACGGGGGCCCGCACAAGCGGUGGAGCAUGUGGUUUAAUUCGAAGCAACGCGAAGAACCUUACCAGGUCUUGACAUCCUCUGACAACUCUAGAGAUAGAGCGUUCCCCUUCGGGGGACAGAGUGACAGGUGGUGCAUGGUUGUCGUCAGCUCGUGUCGUGAGAUGUUGGGUUAAGUCCCGCAACGAGCGCAACCCUUGAUCUUAGUUGCCAGCAUUUAGUUGGGCACUCUAAGGUGACUGCCGGUGAUAAACCGGAGGAAGGUGGGGAUGACGUCAAAUCAUCAUGCCCCUUAUGACCUGGGCUACACACGUGCUACAAUGGAUGGUACAAAGGGCUGCAAGACCGCGAGGUCAAGCCAAUCCCAUAAAACCAUUCUCAGUUCGGA
This 522-nucleotide ribosomal RNA is filed under the name uncultured bacterium. Its description in RNAcentral is "bacterial SSU rRNA". It matches the Rfam family "Bacterial small subunit ribosomal RNA", at positions 777 to 1297 of the family's 1533-position model. The record is from RNAcentral.